GCAUAUCAAUAAGCGGAGGAAAAGAAACCAACAGGGAUUGCCCCCAGUAACGGCGAGUGAAGCGGCAACAGCUCAAAUUUGAAAUCUGGCUCCUAGAGCCCGAGUUGUAAUUUGUAGAGGAUGCUUUUGAUGCGGUGCCUUCCGAGUUCCCUGGAACGGGACGCCAUAGAGGGUGAGAGCCCCGUCUGGUCGGAUGCCAAAUCUCUGUAAAGCUCCUUCGACGAGUCGAGUAGUUUGGGAAUGCUGCUCAAAAUGGGAGGUAUAUGUCUUCUAAAGCUAAAUAUUGGCCAGAGACCGAUAGCGCACAAGUAGAGUGAUCGAAAGAUGAAAAGCACUUUGAAAAGAGGGUUAAAUAGUACGUGAAAUUGUUGAAAGGGAAGCGCCUAUGACCAGACUUGGGCCCGGUGAAUCAUCCAGCGUUCUCGCUGGUGCACUUUGCCGGGCACAGGCCAGCAUCAGUUUGUCUUGGGGGAAAAAGGCUUUGGGAACGUGGCUCCUUCGGGAGUGUUAUAGACCAUUGCAUAAUACCCUGGGACGGACUGAGGUUCGCGCAUCUGCAAGGAUGCUGGCGUAAUGGUCAUCAGCGACCCGUCUUGAAACACGGACCAAGGAGUCGUCUUCGUAUGCGAGUGUUCGGGUGUAAAACCCCUACGCGUAAUGAAAGUGAACGCAGGUGAGAGCUUCGGCGCAUCAUCGACCGAUCCUGAUGUUCUCGGAUGGAUUUGAGUAAGAGCAUACGGGGCCGGACCCGAAAGAAGGUGAACUAUUCCUGUAUAGGGUGAAGCCAGAGGAAACUCUGGUGGAGGCUCGCAGCGGUUCUGACGUGCGAAUCGAUCGUCAAAUAUGGGAAUGGGGGCGAAAGACUAAUCGAACCUUCUAGUAGCUGGUUUCCGCGA
Molecule: ribosomal RNA, 896 nt
Filed under: Simplicillium lanosoniveum
Lineage: Eukaryota; Fungi; Ascomycota; Sordariomycetes; Hypocreales; Cordycipitaceae
Description: LSU rRNA
Rfam family: Eukaryotic large subunit ribosomal RNA
Source: RNAcentral